GACGAACGCUGGCGGCGUGCUUAACACAUGCAAGUCGAACGGAAAGGCCCUGCUUUUGUGGGGUGCUCGAGUGGCGAACGGGUGAGUAACACGUGAGUAACCUGCCCUUGACUUUGGGAUAACUUCAGGAAACUGGGGCUAAUACCGGAUAGGAGCUCCUGCUGCAUGGUGGGGGUUGGAAAGUUUCGGCGGUUGGGGAUGGACUCGCGGCUUAUCAGCUUGUUGGUGGGGUAGUGGCUUACCAAGGCUUUGACGGGUAGCCGGCCUGAGAGGGUGACCGGCCACAUUGGGACUGGGAUACGGCCCAGACUGCUACGGGAGGCAGCAGUGGGGAAUAUUGCACAAUGGGCGGAAGCCUGAUGCAGCAACGCCGCGUGCGGGAUGACGGCCUUCGGGUUGUAAACCGCUUUCGCCUGUGACGAAGCGUGAGUGACGGUAAUGGGUAAAGAAGCACCGGCUAACUACGUG
This 468-nucleotide ribosomal RNA is filed under the name uncultured bacterium. Its description in RNAcentral is "partial 16S ribosomal RNA". It matches the Rfam family "Bacterial small subunit ribosomal RNA", at positions 28 to 507 of the family's 1533-position model. The record is from RNAcentral.